RNAcentral lists this ribosomal RNA (587 nucleotides) under Lactiplantibacillus plantarum. RNAcentral's name for it is "bacterial SSU rRNA". It matches the Rfam family "Bacterial small subunit ribosomal RNA", at positions 74 to 640 of the family's 1533-position model. The record is from RNAcentral. Lineage: Bacteria; Bacillati; Bacillota; Bacilli; Lactobacillales; Lactobacillaceae.
GGGUGCUUGCAUCAUGAUUUACAUUUGAGUGAGUGGCGAACUGGUGAGUAACACGUGGGAAACCUGCCCAGAAGCGGGGGAUAACACCUGGAAACAGAUGCUAAUACCGCAUAACAACUUGGACCGCAUGGUCCGAGUUUGAAAGAUGGCUUCGGCUAUCACUUUUGGAUGGUCCCGCGGUAUUAGCUAAUGGUGGGUAACGGCUCACCAUGGCAAUGAUACGUAGCCGACCUGAGAGGGUAAUCGGCCACAUUGGGACUGAGACACGGCCCAAACUCCUACGGGAGGCAGCAGUAGGGAAUCUUCCACAAUGGACGAAAGUCUGAUGGAGCAACGCCGCGUGAGUGAAGAAGGGUUUCGGCUCGUAAAACUCUGUUGUUAAAGAAGAACAUAUCUGAGAGUAACUGUUCAGGUAUUGACGGUAUUUAACCAGAAAGCCACGGCUAACUACGUGCCAGCAGCCGCGGUAAUACGUAGGUGGCAAGCGUUGUCCGGAUUUAUUGGGCGUAAAGCGAGCGCAGGCGGUUUUUUAAGUCUGAUGUGAAAGCCUUCGGCUCAACCGAAGAAGUGCAUCGGAAACUGGGAAA